GUAAUGCUCUAUAUGCCUUUAAGACAUAAGUCUGCAAGGGAAAUAUUUAUAGCUUUGGGAUGAGACUGUACGGUAUCAGCUUGUUGGUGAGGUAAUGGCUCACCAAGGCUAUGACAUCUAACUGGUUUGAGAGGAUGAUCAGUCACACUGGAACUGAGACACGGUCCAGACUCCUACGGGAGGCAGCANUGCNGAANAUUGCACAAUGGACGAAAGUCUGAUGCAGCAACGCCGCGUGGAGGAUGACACAUUUCGGUGCGUAAACUCCUUUUAUAUGAGAAGAUAAUGACGGUAUCAUAUGAAUAAGCACCGGCUAACUUCGUGCCAGCAGCCGCGGUAAUACGAGGGGUGCAAGCGUUACUCGGAAUCAC
Molecule: ribosomal RNA, 371 nt
Filed under: uncultured bacterium
Lineage: Bacteria
Description: bacterial SSU rRNA
Rfam family: Bacterial small subunit ribosomal RNA
Source: RNAcentral